CCUACGGGGGGCAGCAGUGAGGAAUAUUGGUCAAUGGGCUUACGCCUGAACCAGCCAAGUCGCGUGAGGGAAGACUGCCCUAUGGGUUGUAAACCUCUUUUGUCAGGGAGCAAUUGGCGCUACGUGUAGCGUUAUCGAGAGUACCUGAAGAAAAAGCAUCGGCUAACUCCGUGCCAGCAGCCGCGGUAAUACGUAGGGGGCAAGCGUUAUCCGGAUUUACUGGGUGUAAAGGGGGCGCAGACGGCGAUGCAAGCCAGGAGUGAAAGCCCGGGGCCCAACCCCGGGACUGCUCUUGGAACUGCGUGGCUGGAGUGCAGGAGGGGCAGGCGGAAUUCCUGGUGUAGCGGUGAAAUGCGUAGAUAUCAGGAGGAACACCGGUGGCGAAGGCGGCCUGCUGGACUGCAACUGACGUUGAGGCCCGAAAGCGUGGGGAGCAAACAGGAUUAGAUACCCGAGUAGUC
RNAcentral lists this ribosomal RNA (461 nucleotides) under uncultured bacterium. RNAcentral's name for it is "partial 16S ribosomal RNA". It matches the Rfam family "Bacterial small subunit ribosomal RNA", at positions 338 to 795 of the family's 1533-position model. The record is from RNAcentral.